This 469-nucleotide ribosomal RNA is filed under the name uncultured bacterium. RNAcentral describes it as "partial 16S ribosomal RNA". It matches the Rfam family "Bacterial small subunit ribosomal RNA", at positions 27 to 507 of the family's 1533-position model. The record is from RNAcentral.
GGACGACCGCUGGCGGCGUGCUUAACCCAUGCAAGUCGAACGGAAAGGCCCUGCUUUUGUGGGGUGCUCGAGUGGCGAACGGGUGAGUAACACGUGAGUAACCUGCCCUUGACUUUGGGAUAACUUCAGGAAACUGGGGCUAAUACCGGAUAGGAGCUCCUGCUGCAUGGUGGGGGUUGGAAAGUUUCGGCGGUUGGGGAUGGACUCGCGGCUUAUCAGCUUGUUGGUGGGGUAGUGGCUUACCAAGGCUUUGACGGGUAGCCGGCCUGAGAGGGUGACCGGCCACAUUGGGACUGAGAUACGGCCCAGACUCCUACGGGAGGCAGCAGUGGGGAAUAUUGCACAAUGGGCGGAAGCCUGAUGCAGCAACGCCGCGUGCGGGAUGACGGCCUUCGGGUUGUAAACCGCUUUCGCCUGUGACGAAGCGUGAGUGACGGUAAUGGGUAAAGAAGCACCGGCUAACUACGUG